UCUGCACCAUAGUGGCCGUGAAAUACCACGAGACGAUGUCAUGGACGGCGACGUGUUGUCCGGUGGCGGCGGAUAGCCCGACCUGAACCUGCUGAGGAACAAAGUCGCUCAAAUCGUACUCAUAGUUGACAUCAAAUGUCUGCGAGCCGGCGGUGACUUUCACGGAGAUCAUCCUUGUGGCUCCGACGUAGUUGAUCCGCGCAGUCACCUGCUGCCCGAGUAUGGAGUUGUCGACCUUCGUCGUGUUGCUGGAUGCCCUAGAGCCGAAGUCGAUGCCGAUGUGGGGAUAGAGCGGAUCCCACGCGCCGUUGACGUAGGUGUCGAUUUCGACGGCGAAGACCGAGGGGCUGUUGCCGUUGGAGCCAAAGAUUCCGAGGUUGGCUCCGUUGGAGCCAGGGGGGAUGGUGGAACCGACGGGGGCAAUGAAGAAGGCGAGGCCGUCGGCAGGCUCGUUGUCGGCGCCCGGGGUGAUGAUGAAGUUCACAGUGGUUUCGAAGUCGACCUGCCCACCGGACUGCGAGAAUUGGACCGGGUUCGAGUGCAAGACGCGGCCGACUUGUGAGGGCUGUGCGUCUGUGAGGCGGAGGAAGGUGGAGUCCGUCGGGAAAUGGGCGCUGCCUUGAUAGAUGAGAUCUUUCGGCUGGUCGCCCCAGAAGUCGUAGGUGAAGGACGUCGUUUGGGACAACGCCGUGUUGGAAACGGCGAGGAGGAGGGCGAUGGAGGCGAGGAGAGGAGUUAAGGUUUGAACAAGCUGGUUGGCCAUGGCUUAAUUGAUUUAGAUUUAGAUUUAGAGAUGUGGUGGAUGAUGGUGGCCAGGUAUCGAUCUCUUGCACCUAUUUAUACUAGUAUGGUUCAUGCCUGUUAAUAAUUGUAUAUAUCAAUCAAUCAUCGUGCAUCUAUCCCAAAUUAUAUGUCUUAUUAUUCACUAAUUAGAUGGAAUAAAUCCUAAUUAGCAAUCUUAAAAUUACACCGCCAAUGAGGCCUUGCUCUAGUGGUAAAGCUGUGGCACCGAAUAACUUUUCUUUGUGAAAGGUCUUGGGUUCAAUCUCGCCUGCAUGCGGUGAUGUUUGUCCAUUUUAGAUGGUGUGGUAUUCUUGCCUGCGUGCGGUGUUGUAUUAUUUAGUCUUAGGCGUUCUUGCCUGUGUGCAUAUCACUGUGUGACAAUUAAAAGAAUGACUUUAAAAUAAAAGUUAAGCCUUAAAAAUUUAAUCUACAUUCAUAUAUAACUGAAAUUACAUGCAUGUCUAAUUUUUUUAAUAUCAUAACAAGAUAAGAUUUAUUAAAUAAUUCAGAUGCAUAAAUAAAAAGUUAAUCUAUAAACACAGUAUAGAUAUAUUAUCAAUGAUAGGCCGUGUAUAAGUCUUAAUCUGUAAAACUAUAUCAUCCCAGCCUUAAACGACUACCAUUCCUGCUUUCCCAGAGCAACCACACUGUUCCCACCCACAAAGCUUUAAGCAGUACAUGCAUGUCUAAAUAUUAUUUAUAAUUAUCAAUAACAAGAUUAAUGAUUCUAUAUCUCUAUGUUUAUACAUAUAUUCACGUAUGACAUAGUAUAUAUUAGCUAUUAAGUUAAAAACUAAUAAAAUACUACAGUUUUGCAUAGGAUAUAUAUUUAAUUAGUAGUAGGAUAGGACACGUGUAUUAAUUUUAAGGGCAAGUAAUCAAACUUUUGAAUGAUUCAUCAUGCUUAAAAAAAAAAAGAGACCUAGAUAGAUGAUUCAUCAGAUUCAAAAACAAGUAUAAAUAGACUUCGAGUUUGAAAUUUUAAUUAAUUUGCAACAACAAUUCAAACUGACUGUAUUAAGGUAAGUAGUUACAGAUUUCAUACACAUUAUAUGAUUUCGCGCACAUACGUAUGUAUAUAUAAAUAUUUUUUAAAAUCAUAUACUCCCUCCGUCCCCAAAAUAAGUUCCUCUUUGGGGACGGCACGGAUUUUAAGGAAAAGUGGUAAAGUGUAUUAAUAGUGGAGAAAAAUAUGUUAUAAUUAGUAUUGGAAGUUGUGAAAAGGUGAAAAAGUGUUAUAAUUAGUAUUGGGAGUGGUGAAAAAGUGAAAAGUAAGAAUAAAUAAAGUAUUAUUAGUGGUGGGGUAGUUGUCCAAAAAUGGAAAAAAAGAAAGAGGAACUUAUUUGGGGGACAUCCCAAAAUGGAAAAAGAGGAACUUAUUUCAGGGACGGAGGGAGUAUUAUAUAAUAAUUAUAUUUAAGUUUUAUAUUAUUCUUUAUAAACUAUUGUUCCAUUCUAUAUAAUUAGGUGUGGCACGACUAGGACGUAACUUUCGAUUGAAUUUCUCAAGUUAAUUUUCAAGUUCAAGUUUCAGGUGUGAGAUUUAUUUAAAUACAUGUCAUGAUUAUUCAUUGUCCAUUUUAAUAGUAUGUGUUUACCAUAUGUGUUAUGACGCAUAUUUUGAGGACAUCGCUAGGAGCCCAUAAAUAGGGUCCAGGACUUCACCGUCCUUGGAUUGCCACAAUGCGAUUUGAGGUUUAUUUUGAGGAUGUCGUCAGGGGCCCGUAAAUAGGGUCCAGGACUUUAAUAGUCAUUGGGUUGCCACAGUGCGAAUAUUGAAGAUAUAUAUGAAGUGACCGUAUGUGUUACCGUUUCAUUAACGUGGACAAUGAUUGCAUGUUUAAGAGACAAUAACCAAUUUUUCAGACAUUUGUGAACAAAAUGAAGCAUGUUUAGAGAUCCUUAAUAAAGGUGUACGAAAUGAUGGAUAAAUAAGUUUGUGAAACAAAUUUCACCAUACCUAACCCCACAAUUAUUUGCGGUCGAAUUUCCUCGUCACAGGAAAAAGAGAUGAUGACAAAAGGGCAAAAAUUAAUUAACAAAGUAGAAGAUGCAUGACAACUGUAAAAGAAAAAUAAUGCUACUAAUUAAAUAGUCCAAACUUCAUACGUUUCAUAUCAUAAGUGGCAGUUCUAUUUUUUUUUUGCGAAAGUGAACAAAAUAACGAAUAAUUUUUAAAGUAAUAGUAAUAAGGAGAUGUGUUUUGACAGAAAACGACAUGAGCGGCCUAAAAAUAAGAGGGAAAAAGAUAAUCAUAUAAAUAUGGGUUAAUUGCCUCUAAAUACACCACCUUUCCUUGAAUUCUACAAUUGCACAUCACCUUUAAAAUCCGCCCUUAAAUACACCACCUUUCCUUGAGUUCUACAAUUGCACAUCACCUUUAAAUCCGCCCCAAAAUACAUCAUCUUUAUAUUUUUUCUGUUUUUGCACAUGACUAAAAAAUUCUCAAGAAAUAAAUUAAAGUGUUAAUUUAUAAAUUUAAAUAUCUUUUUAGCAGCGAAAACAUAAUAAAAUAAAAUUCUUUAUAAAGUUUAAAAUCAUAUAUAUAUAUAUAUAUAUAUAAGUAUUUUCGUAAAGAAAUAAAUUCUCUAAUAAAUUUUUAGAAAGAACUUGAAUUAAAAAAAUAAACAAGUCAUGACAUUAAGAAAAUAAAAUGAAAUUUUUAUUUUAAUAAAUUUCACACGAAUUCGAUAUAAUUUGGAAUUUAGAGUUACAAUAAUCAGAAGUACCACAUGAAUAAUAUAAUGAGUUUGAAAGAAAUUUUUUUUAAAGAGGUUCGACACGCCCAUUCGACUUUCCACGCGCCUCCAAUGUCAUUUACCUGAAAUAUUAANUAUAUAAGUAUUUUUCGUAAAGAAAUAAAUUCUCUAAUAAAUUUUUAGAAAGAACUUGAUUAAAAAAUAAACAAGACAUGACAUUAAGAAAAUAAAAUGAAACUUUUAUUUUAAUAAAUUUCACACGAAUUCGAUAUAAUUUGGAAUUUAGAGUUACAAUAAUAAAAAGAACCACAUAAAUAAUAUAAUCAGUUUGAAAGAAAUAUAUAUAUAUUUUUUUAAAGAGGUUCGACGCGCCCAUUCGACUCUCCACGCGCUACCAAUGUCAUUACCUGAAAUACUAAAUAUGGGAUAAGCAUACAUAAUAUACUUAGUGUGGGAACAUGCAAUUAUUGUCCACGUUAAUAAAAUAGUAACACAUACGAUCAUAACAUUCAAAACGACACAAUUUUGCCAAUAUGGAAGCCACGUCAUUUAAAGUGGUAACACCCUAAUCUAACUAAAGUGUUAAAUAUAAAUUUAAAGCGGAAAUAUAAUAAAAUAAAGUUCUUUAUAAAAAUAAAUAAAGAAUUUUAUUUUAUUAUAUUUCCGCUGCUAAAAAAGAUAUUUAAAAUUUAUAAAUUAACACUUUAAUUUAUUUCUUGAGGAUUUUUAAGUCAUGUGCAAAAACAGAAAAAAAAUAUAAAGGUGAUGUAUUUUGGGGCGGAUUUAGAAUUCAAGGAAAUGUGGUGUAUUUAGGGGCGGAUUUUAAAGGUGAUGUGCAAUUGUAGAAUUCAAGGAAAGGUGGUGUAUUUAGGGGAAAUUAACCCUAUAAAUAUUCAAAAUCAAACGGAUUGGCAUGUAUUCAUCAUUUUUUAUUUUUUAUUUUGAUAAUUUAACAGUAUUAAAUAAAGAAAUUUAUAGGCUGCGUCCCUUACUGCUUGGCUUUUAGAUUAUGUUGUAAUAAUAAAAUUAAAAGCACGUUUACAAUAUAAAAUUAAUUAUGAUAAAUACAAUAUAUUAAUAAUAAAUACUCAAUUACCUCUUAACAUAAUUCGCGCAUCAUGGCUUUUAGCUUAUAUUAUAAAGAUAUAAUAUGUUGUCUAUAAUAAUCGACGGAAGGUAAUAGACAACAUGUUUUACUUCUUGUCUAUAAUAAUAUAGACAGUAGAUCUAGUGUUAUAGAUAACAAUUAAUACGUGUUGUCUAUAUGAUGAUAGACACCAAAAAUCUCUGUUGUCUAUUCUAUGACAAAAAAAUUUAAAAAAAUUCUAAUAUAUUUACAUCCCUGUAUUACAAUACCAAUAUAUAUGAAAAAAUAAAAAUAAUUAAAAAUCAAAUAAUCAAACAAUACUUAUAAACCACUAAUACUCACAAUCAAAUAUUUACACAUCAACAAUUGUAUUAUCUUUAAUUACGCCUUCAUUUAUCUACUAAAAAAAAUCUCUAAUAAAAUCUCUAACUAACUCCGGUCAUCAUCUCUUGAAGGCUUAGAAAAUGUCCAAAUACAGCGGCACAUGCUCAUUAUUGUGUGAGCGAUGAGAACUUUGCGCUGAACCUAUAAAGUAACUAUACUUAACUGGUAAAGUAAUUGUAUCCCGUGAAUCUAAAGGAAGAAUAAACACGUUGAUAGAGUUUGAAAGAAAAGAAUAAAGAGAAUGAAAAUCCAAAGAAUUUGCUUCUUCCGUUGAACAAUCCCUACACAACGUUGAAAUAUCAAUGAAAACAAUGGCUAUCCUAUACUCCCUCCAUCCAUGAAAGAACUUCCUAGGAGGGAGUGACACGGGUUUUAAGAAAAAAUAUUGUUAAGUGUAUUGAGAGUGGAUAAAAGGUAGUUGAGUGUAUUGGGAGUGGUGAAAAUGUGUUAUAGUUAAUAUUGAGAGUUGUGAAAAGUGAAAAGUAAGAGGAUUAUAAGUGGUGGGGUAUAGUCCAAAAAUAGGUAGGAAGUUCUUUUGUGGACGUCCCAAAAAGGAAAGAUAUGAAGUUCUUUCGUGGACGGAGGGAGUAUUAUUUUGCAGCAGCAACCACGUUUAAAAACUCGAUCCCUCUAUUCUUGAAUUUGUGAAAUUUCCGACUGAUUUAUUAGAUUCACCAUUUAUUUCAGUUUAAUUAGUCUAUAUAUAGAUAUUUCUUAUAUUAUUAAAUUGUUAACCUCAUGGUAGAUUUCAAGAUUUGAAAAUUCAACAAAGAGCUUGAGAAUUAUAGAGAUUGGAAGGGGAAGAUGAAACAUAGUUGGGUGAAAUUAGAAACCAAUUAAAGUCAGGAGAUUGAAGAAAAACAUAACUUAAAAACACAAAAUAAGCAAAUCGUAGAUGCAGUAUCUUGCAAGAAAAAGUUCAUAUUCCCAAGGCUAUGAUGAGCACGAAUUAGGGUGUGUCUGCAUUUUAUCCCUCUAAAUGGAGGAAUAAUAAAAUUUUAUGCCUUUAAAUGUUUGCUUUCUUAUCACACAUUCUAAACAAACACCAUUUUUUCUUCCUUAUUUUCACUUCAAUGAGGGAUAAUAUUAUCCCUCCAAUUUUGGUGUGAUAAUAUUAUCCCUCCUACAAGUGAAAAUAAGGAAGAAAAAAUGGUACUCCCUUCGUCCCAAACGAAAUGUCCUGUUUUCCUUUUUGGGCUGUCCCAAACGAAAUGUCCUGUUUCCUUUUUUGGCAAUACACUCUCUCUCUAUACUUAAUAUUUAAAUAAUUUUCACCAACCCACUUUAUCUACUUUAUACACAUUUCUUAAUCUCCGUGCCGAAAAGAAAUGGGACAUUUCGUUUGGGACGGAGGGAGUAUUUGUGUAGGAUGUGGGAUAAGAAAACAAACAUUUAAAGACAUAAAUUUUUGUUAUUCCUCCAUUUAGAGGGAUAAAAAGCAAACACACCUUAGAGUCUAAUUACAAUUUAGGCGCAGGCUGUGUGAGAAUUACUUAGUCGAAUAGGAUCCUUAGUAUUUAUAUUUCUCAUGUUCUUGUGUAUUUUUUCACUGAUUCACUAUUGGAUUAACAAGAAUUAUCUUACUUUAAAAAAAAAAAAGAAAUGAUCUUACUUCAUGUAUGGUAUGCCAACUGUUCGAUAAAGGUCCUUUUAGAAAUAUUCCAUAGAUUACCUUGCAAAGACCACAAAACUAGACACACCCUGCAUAGUUUAUACAUAGGGAUGGCCGAUUGAUGAUCGUCUUAUUUGUAGACUUAACGAGAGCAGACUCGAUCGCUUAGUCCUUACUGAUUUACGACACACAUGCACACAUACACAGAUACACACAUCACAAAAUCACGCAAAUUGACGGAUAAUGUUGCCGGCCAGCUCCUUCCUGCUCCACGCCACGGCAUUUUUCUGCACCAUGGUGGCCGUGAAAUACCACGAGACGAUGUCAUGGGUGGCGACGUGUUGUCCGGUGGCGGCGGAUAGCCCGACCUGAACCUCCUGAGCAACAAAGUAGCUCAAAUCGUACUCAUAGCUGACAUCAAACGUCUGAUUGCCGGCGGUGACUUUGACGGAGAUCAUCCUUGUGGCUCCGACGUAGUUGAUCCGCGCAGUUACCUGCUGCUUGAGUAUGGAGCUGUCGACCGGCGUCGUCUUGCUGGAUACCCUAGAGCCGAAGUCGAUGCCGAUGUGGGGAUAGAGCGGAUCCCACGCGCCGUUGACGUAGGUGUCGAUUUCAACGGCGAAGACCCCGGGGCUGUUGCCGUUGGAGCCAAAGAUUCCGAGAUUGGCUCCGUCGGAGCCAGGGGGGAUGGUGGAGUCGACGGGGGCAAUGAAGAAGGCGAGGCCGUCGGCAGGCUCGUUGUCGGCGCCGGGGGUGAUGAUGAAGUUCACGGUGGUUUCGAAGUCGACCUGCCCAUUGGACAUCCAGAAUUGGACCGGUUCCGAGUACAUGACGCGGCCGACUUGGGACGGUUGUGCGUCUGUGAGGCGGAGGAAGGUGGAGUCCGUCGGGAAAUGGGCGUUGCCUUGAUAGAUGAGAUCUUUCGGCUGGUCGCCCCAGAAGUCGAAGGUGAACGACGUCGUUUGGGACAACGCCGUGUUGGAAACGGCGAGGAGGAGGGCGAUGGAGGCGAGGAGAGGAGUUAAGUUGGCCAUGGCUUAAUAGAUUUAGAUUUAGAGAUGUGGUGGAUGAUGGUGGUAUCGAUCUGUUGCACCUAUUUAUACUAGUAUGGUUCAUGCCUGAUAAUAAUUGUAUCAAUCAAUCAUCGUGCAUCUAUCCCAAAUUAUAUGUCUUAUUAUUCACUAAUUAGAUGGAAUAAAUCCUAAUUUGCAAUCUUAAAAUUAAACCGCCAAUGAGGCCUUGCUCUAGUAGCAAAGCUGUGGCACCCAAUAACUUUUCUUUGUGAAAGGUCUUGGGUUCAAUCUCGCCUGCAUGCGGUGAUGUUUGCCCACUUUAGGUGGUGUGGUAUUCUCGCCUGCGUGCGGUGUUAUAUUGUUUAGUGUUAAGGUCCCACAUGCAGGGCGUUCUUGCAUGUGUGCGUGUCACAACCCAAAACCAUUUAUUUUCUUUACAAAUUUUAUAUGAAAAUUAUUUGAUUUUUAAGUUAUAGAGUUUUCGAUAUAUAUACAUAUAGUGUCAAUUUUAUGUUAACUUAGUCGUGUCCCUAAUUAAAAGAAUGAAUUUGAAAUAAAAGUUAAGCCUUAAAAAUUUAAUCUACAUUCAUAUAUAACUGAAAUUACAUGCAUGUCUAAAUAUUAUUUAUAAUUAUCAAUAACGGGAUUAAUGAUUCUAUAUCUCUAUGUUUAUACAUAUAUUCACGUAUGACAUAGUAUAUAUUAGCUAUUAAGUUAAAUAAAAUACUACAGUUUUGCAUAGGAUAUAUAUUUAAUUAGUAGUAGGAUAGGACACGUGUAUUAAUUUUAAGGGCAAGUAAUCAAACUUUUGAAUGAUUCAUCAUGCUUAAAAAAAAGAGACCUAGAUAGAUGAUUCAUCAGAUUCAAAAACAAGUAUAAAUAGACUUCGAGUUUGAAAUUUUAAUUAAUUUGCAACAACCAUUCAAACUGACUGUAUUAAGGUAAGUAGUUACAGAUUUCAUACACAUUAUAUGAUUUCGCGCACAUACGUAUGUAUAUAUAAAUAUUUUUUAAAAUCAUAUAUUAUAUAAUAAUUAUAUUUAAGUUUUAUAUUAUUCUUUAUAAACUAUUGUUCCAUUCUAUAUAAUUAGGUGUGGCAUGACUAGGACGUAACUUUCGAUUGAAUUUCUCAAGUUAAUCUUCAAGUUCAAGUUUCAGGUGUGGGAUUUAUUUAAAUACAUGUCGUGGUUAUUUAUUAUCCAUUUUAAUAAUAUGUGUUUACCAUAUGUGUUAUGAUGCAUAUUUUGAGGAUAUCGCUAGGGGCCCAUAAAUAGGGUCCAGGACUUCACCGUCCUUGGAUUGCCACAAUGCAAUUUGAGGUUUAUUUUGAGGAUGUCGUCAGGGAUCCGUAAAUAGGGUCCAGGACUUUAAUAGUCCUUGGGUUGCCACAGUGCGAAUAUAUUGAGGAUAUAUAUGAAGUGACCGUAUGUGUUACCGUUUCAUUAACGUGGACAAUGAUUGCUUGUUCUCACACUGAGUGUACUCUGUAUGCUCAUCCCAUAUUUAACGUGGAAGGUCGAUUGACGAAUCAAAUAUUUUGUAUUUAGCUUUACCUAAAUAUGUUAUUUUGAGUAAAGUAUUUUAAAUAAAAAUUUAUUUCAUAAUUUUCUCAUUAAAUAUUUAUUUAUAUUCAUAGCUUUUCCGCACAAAUAUUUAUUUAAAUUUUAAUUAGAUUUGGGUGUCACUGUGCGGUGAUGUUUUUCCACCGUUUCGGUGGUGGUGAGGCCCCACCUGCGUGCACGUUAUAUACUUGAUUAUAUUCAGAUACCUCUUGUAAUUUUUAAAAAAAUAAUCAUAAAAUUAAACCAAAGCAUAUAAAAUUGAAAUUGGCCAAAAAAAUAUAUAAAAAUAAAUAAAAUUAAAAAUGGGAUAUAAAGUGAGACAUUAAAUGUGGUACACUACUGAAUCUCAAUCCAACACGUGGAUGCUACAUUGUACUUGUCGGAAUAUUAGAACUUCUACAAAAUAUUGCUAUUGGAAACGUGAAAUUUUAUUAUGAGAAAACUUAUACCUGACCCCACAGUCGUGGGCACGUGUUAUGUUGCGCGGAAAUUAAAGUGGUGGGGACCGUAAAUGGUAUUUUAGUCUUUUAAUUUAUUUUAGUAUACAAAAGAGUUAAUUUUAAAGAGGCGCUAAAAAACACAUCACUUUUAAAAAUUGGUAUUUAAAAUCUUGAACCCCUUUUAUUAUUUUAGAAAGAUAUUAAUUAAUUGAUAAAUUAAUAAAUUAUUAAUUGAAACAAUUAUUUUAAGCAAAUUUAAUUAUAAUUACCUAAAAAUUUAAAAAACAUAAAUUCAAUACCAUUCAAAUUCAACAAACUAACUUAAAUUUUUACUUUAAAAAAUCUUCAUCAAUCUUGCAAUCUCGGCUUGGACUAUAAAUGUUCAACAAGAGACAAUAACCAAUUUUUCAGACAUUUGUGAACAAAAUGAAGCAUGUUUAGAGAUCCUUAAUAAAGGUGUACGAAAUGAUGGAUAAAUAAGUUUGUGAAAAUUUCACCAUACCUAACCCCACAAUUAUUUGCGAUCGAAUAUCCUCGUCACAGGAAAAAGAGAUGAUGACAAAAGGGAAAAAAAAAUUAACAAAGUAGAAGAUGCAUGACAACUGUCAAGAUAAAUAAUGUUACUAAUUAAAUAAUCCAAACUUUAUACGUUUCAUAUCAUAAGUGGCAGUUCUAUAUUUUUUGCGAAAGUGAACAAAAUAACGAAUAAUUUUUAAAGUAAUAGUAAAAGGAGAUGUGUUUUGACAGAAAACGACAUGAGCGGCCUAAAAAUAAGAGGGAAAAAGAUAAUCAUAUAAAUAUUCAAAAUCAAACGGAUUGGCAUGUAUUCAUCAUUUUUUAUUUUAAUAAUUUAACAGUAUUAAAUCAAGAAAUUUAAAGACCGCGCCCCUUACUGCUUGGCUUUAAGAUUAUGUUACAAUAAUAAAAUUAACAGCACGUUUACAAUAUAAAAUUAAUUAUGAUAAAUGCAAUAUAUUAAUAAUAAAUACUCAAUUACCUCUUAACAUAAUUCGCGCAUCAUGGCUUUUAGCUUAUGUUAUAAAGAUGGAGUAUAAAAUAAUCAUCACCUGUGCAUGAUAUUUCACAAAAUAAUUAAAUAAUAAAAUAAUCAAUCAUAAUGCCAAGACGUGACUCUUGUCGGUCAUAUCUCAUCAACUUUAUCUAUAUAGUACAAUGAUGAUUAAUUUGAGAACGACGAUUAAGACACCAACUAUUCUUGUGGGGACACAUGCAUAUAUAGAAUUAAUAUUAUAAACUCUCUCGGUCCACGAAAUAACUUACUAUUUUUUCUUUUAAGAACGUGAACAAAAAAAAUUCCCAUCGAUAUUUCGGAACUAUACCCCACUACUUUAAAAUACCUCAUUUUACCCUUUCUUUUUCACAAAAACAACAAAUUACUAAUAAUUUUUCACUAUUCCUAAUAUACUGAACAAUUUUUCUCCACUCUCAAAUUUUGUAGCACCGAAUAAAAUUAAAUACUAGUAUUAUUUUUUGUAGAACUAUAAAUAAAUAUUAUUCUCAAAACAUGUACUAUUACUUACUAUUUUUUUUAAAUGUGGGACGACCAAAAAAGGAAAGAUGAAUUCUAAAAGCUGGGACAGAGGAUAUAUUAUUUUUCUUCUUGGUUCUGAAGUAUGAAUAUUAAUUAACAAUUCUUCGUCCACAUCAAGCUCACCUUCACGUAAUUUUUUCUUGAACAACACCGAAAAAUAUAUAAUCCCAACAUAGCAUGAUCAAUCUCAAUGCACCAAACAUAAAUUAGUUUUAAAAUAAUAAUAAGAUUAACUACUAUAUUGCUGAAUUAUGCAGUAGAAUUAAAAGCGUGAUUUUUUUUUAAUAGAGCAGGUUAAUCUAGGCCUACCUGAACCAUCUGACUAUGCAUGAGUUUGAUUUUUCUUCUUGAUCUUUUUUAAUUUUACCGACAAAGAAGAUUUUCACAAAUGAAAAGAAAACGUUCUAGUAACAUACUACAUGCUUACUUCAGAUUUGCAACCAAGUCUAUUGAGGGUUUUAUUUGCUACAUAUAUAAACACAAGGAUUUGGUUUGAUACAAAUUAAGAAUAUUCAACUUUCAUCGGCUCAAGCACAUAGAAUCUCCCCGAGUAGUUAUAACUGGUCAAUGUUUUUGCCGAUAAAAAGGAAAAGGAAAGAAAAAAGAAAGAAGCAAGACGGAGAAAAAGUUGUAGUAAAUGAUUAUGCGAUGAAAAGAAAAUGGAAAAGAGAAAGAAAGAAGAAAGUUGUAGGAAUUUUGAAGAAUUUGUACUUAUUUAGAAUUGUGGUUAUUGUGGGAUCUUGUAUAAUAAUAAUAAUAAUAAUAAUAAUAAUAAUAAUAAUUAUUGGGCCGUUCCACGAAUCUUGGCACAUUUUCAAAUAAGGUAAUAAUUCAUUCUCUCUCUUACUUUAUCACUUUAAUACUUUAUUAACUACAAACUUAAAACACUAAUAUACAAUUCCUUAAUUCCCGUGUCGAAACCAAACGUGUCAAGAUUCGUUGGAUGGAGGGAGUAAUAAUAAUAAUAAUAAUAAUAGUAAUAAUAAUAAUAAUAAUAAUAAUAAUACAUCAUUGCCCUUUAAAAAGUUUUAAAAUAGGAACAUAAUAUGUAAAUCUAAUUUUGUAAAAGAAGCUCUUCUAUAGUAAUAGUUAUAGAUUUGGUGUGGAGGCAUUUGUUUGAGAAUGGGUAAAACAUACCAUUAACCCUUUGAUAUAUGCACGAGACACUUAUUUGUGGAUAGGACAAGAAUUAUUUUGUUGCAUAGGAUCCCUUCCAAAUGUAAUUACUGAUUCACAAUUGGAUUAACAAGAAUUAACUUACUUCAUAUUCAGUAUUCCAACUGUUCGAUAAAAGUUCUUAAUGAAAUCUUCCAUAGAUUACCCAAAUGCAUUGUUUUGCAUAGUCCGUACAUUGAGAUGGUCGAGUAUCUUAUGUCUAGACUUAACGAGAGCAGACUCGAUCGCUUAGUCCUUAUUUAUUUACGACACACACACAUCUCAAAAUCACACAAAUUGACGAAUAAUGUUGCCAGCCAGCUCCUUCCUGUUCCACGCGCCAGCAUUUGUCUUCACCAUGGUGGCUGUGAAAUACCAUGAGAUAAUAUCAUGUUUGGCGACGUAUGGUUGGUUUAGUCCGCUGGCGGCGGAGAGCCCUACCUGAACCUGCUCAGGAAGAAACUCGCCCAAAUUGUACACAUGGCUGACCUCAAACGUCUUCGAGCCGGCGGUGGCACUGACGGUGAUCAUCUUCGUGGCUCCGACGUAGUUGAUCCGCGCAGUCACCUGCUGUCCGACUAUGGCGUCUCCGACAUUCGUCGUGUUGCUGGAUUCCCUAGAUCCGAGGUCGAUGCCGAUGUGGGGAUAGUUCGGAUCCCACGGGCUGUUGAUGAAGGUGUCGAACUCGACGGCGAAGACCGAGGGGCUAUUGCCGUUGGAGCCGAAAAUUCCGAGGUUGGCCCCAACAGCGCCACUGGGGAUGGUGGAGCCGACGGGGGCAAUGAAGAAAGCGAGGCCGUCAGCGGUUUUGCCAUCGGGGCUGGGUGUGAUGAUGAAGUUAAUGGUGGUUUCAAAGUCGACUUGGCCACCGGAUUGGGAGAACUGGACCGGCUUCGAGUACAAGACCCGGCCGACCUGGUAUGUCUCGAAGUCGGUGAGGCGGAGGAAGGUGGAGUCCGAUGGGAAAUGGGCGUGGCCUUGGUAGGUGAGAUCGGUCGGCUGGUCGCCCCAGAAGUCGUAGGUGAAGGACGUUGUUUGGGACCACACCGUGUUGGCAGCGGCGGCAAGGAGAAGGGCGAUGGAGAUUAGGGUUUGUUGAAGGUUGGCCAUCGCUUAAUUGAUUUGGAUGUGGUGGAUGAUGGUGGUAUCUUUAUCUUGCUUCUAUUUAUAGUAGUAUAACGAGCCCUAGUUAAUUAUCUUUAAAUCAUACUAAAAUAUCAUAAAUUAAAAUUGAAGAAAAAAAAGUUAAAACCUACUCUCGCAGUCCCUCAAAUAACUUCUUAGGAGAAGAGGGGUAGGAGUUUUAAGACGAAGUUAAUGUGCAAAGUAAGGAUAAA
Molecule: long non-coding RNA, 13624 nt
Filed under: Salvia miltiorrhiza (redroot sage)
Lineage: Eukaryota; Viridiplantae; Streptophyta; Magnoliopsida; Lamiales; Lamiaceae
Description: long non-coding RNA (SMIL_LNC011427)
Source: RNAcentral